This 72-nucleotide transfer RNA is filed under the name Blautia producta. Its description in RNAcentral is "tRNA-Ile". It matches the Rfam family "tRNA". Rfam says of the family: Transfer RNA (tRNA) molecules are approximately 80 nucleotides in length. RNAcentral also lists the same sequence under 3 other names. Lineage: Bacteria; Bacillati; Bacillota; Clostridia; Lachnospirales; Lachnospiraceae. The record is from RNAcentral.
UGACGUGUAGCUCAAUGGUUAGAGCGGAAGCUUUAUAAGCUGUGUGUGCCGGUCCGAAUCCGGCCACGCCAA